Dermacentor andersoni is the source of this 1473-nucleotide non-coding RNA. NCBI's taxonomy places the organism in Eukaryota, Metazoa, Arthropoda, Arachnida, Ixodida, Ixodidae. The record is from RefSeq and is a predicted model, not a curated record.
AGCGUCAGCUGAUGGGCAACAGAAAAGCGCCGCUUUAGUUUCGUGCAUUUCUUUUCUUCUUUUCGCUGUAGUAUGACAAAAGUGAUUUCAACGACAGUAAACGCUUGCGCUUCGUGACAGCUUUUGAGCCAGCGUGACCAGCCGUGGCCGUUGCAGUUUCAAACCAUUUGAACAGAUGAGAUGUGCGGGUGGAAGAGAGAGAGAGAGAGAAAAAAAAAAGAAGUGUGCUUUCUAGCAAUACUUCGAACUGUUACUUCUGAAAUAUUUAGCACACAGGAAAUGUGGCUAGGUGAAAAAAAAGCAACCAGCAAGAUAAGUGUUUGUUUUUUGUCUUGUCGCCUUCCUGUAUCGUCUUCUGGCUGCUCAUCAUGGACUUCGGGAAGUCGCACAAGUUUUUAUUUUUCGUGGCAAAUUUAUGUGCCGCUUCGACAGCGCAUCGUGUCUGAGAGCUGGGCUAGCUGGAAUAGUCGGUGUGACUCCGUGAUGUGAAAUAUAGCGCAAAACUGCGUGUGCAGUGAUUCCGUGAAUAGCGCAGUGCGUUCGAAGUUCGAAGUAGGGCGCAUUUAGCGCGGCAGGGAAGACCUUUUUGGAAGACCUUUUUGGAUUUUUUGACUUGAUGGGCCAAAAAUUUAUCUGGCUGCGUUUGGUGAGAAUGACCUCUGCGGAGGCAUUGUCGCAGCAUAUCUCCUGGUGUCCUGGUCAACAAGUGGCGCCUGUCUUGAGCAACCAUCGUCAUCGCCAGCUGCUUCGACGCAUGUCGCAACAAAUACUUCGGCCCAUCUUCGUCCUGGCGUAAAUCAAACAGCCAUCAGAGAGGACACUACCUGGACGACUUAGGAGUCAUCACCGAAUCAUGUCAAGUUUUCCUGGCAGCGUCUAUGAGCGGUACUUGGUGUCUAUCUUUGUAGAAAUUGAUGAAGGCGACACGGGCCUCAUCAACGUAGACCAGCUACAUCUGGCGCUGUUGUCCAGCAUAACUUAUCUACGGUACCGCAUCAUAUCUCAGAAGACCGCGAGGAUGCUGAUGACCGUGGUCGACCGAGAGCGCACGGGCAUCAUAAACAUGCAGCAGUUCUUCUUGCUGUAUCGAAUUGUCUUCGUCUUGUGGAAAUCCUUCCGACAGUACGACCCAAACAACUCUGGAUGGAUUAGGCACGGCGACCUCCGAGCUGCAAUGGCGUGCAACCGCCUCCAGUUCACGGAUUACCAACUGAACGAGGUGCUGGACUACGACAACACCAGAGGAUGGAUCAGCCUUGACCACUACCUUCAACUCUGUGCUAUGUGCAUUCUCGCCCGCCUUGUCACCCGUUAACCUUGGAUCGUCCAAAGACUUGGGCAUCUGAAGUCCCGGAUCGUCCAAUAUGUUGGGUCGUCCGCAGCAUUAUUUUACGUAAUCAAUAAUUGAUUUUGGAGGGCUAAGCCAGCCUAAAUGCGUGUAAUUCAAUAAAAACAAUCAAUAACUGCCAAGAA